UCUUAUUUACUAAGCCCUUCCCAUGGGCCAGACCCUGGACCCUGUGUUUUUACCUGCACUACCUCAUUCUGAGCUUACAAUAACCUUGUGAGGGAGGAACUUUGGCCCCUGUUUUUCAGAGGAGGAAACUGUGGCUUAAAAUAUCUGGGUCGUUCGCCUGAAGUCACACAGCUGGUAAAUGACAGAGGGAGGAUUCAAAUCUCGCUCUUCCUUCAGAGUGGUUUGUGACGAUACCUGGUGUUCCCUAGGUGCUGAAUAAGUGUUUGUUUUGCCCCCUUUCUGCCCACAUGCUAAUCCAAGCAGGUGUAGGGAAGAGCUGAUUUGGGGGGAGGGGGUCCUGGCACCCAACACUUCCUGGAGGGGCCAGAACGCCACCUUGUCACAGAACAUUAGUCACAUCAGAACAUUAAUCACUUGCACACAGUGCUUUUGAGCUGACAAGGUUCUUUCCCACACCUUAUCUCCUGGUCUAAGGGAGCCUAGUGCACUGAUACCUAAAGAUCCUUCAGGCUGCUGGGAAAGAGAUCAGGCUGCUGGGAAAGAGAUCGGCAGGCAAGUCAUCCUAUGUGAUAAGCCUCAGAGAGGCAAAGUCCCCCUCCCCAUGGACAUACAUAGGUACACACAGUGCACGGCCACUGUUCUGGUGGGAGGGAUAGCUCGCUCAGCUGGGCAUCUGGGCGGCCGGUAGGGCUGUUGGGGUGUUGCAACCCUCCCUGGGACAGCCAGCUGAGCCGAGCCUGUAGCUGAGAAGUGUUACCCUCUAGACCUGAUAACCUAUUGUGCUCCUGAAGGUCUCCUCCUCCUGAAAGGACUUUAGUCUUUGGAGCUGUCAGAUGAACCGAGUGAGAUAAGAGCUUGGCAGGCUGUGAAGGAAGGGAGGGAACACUCCAUAGCCGCCUACUGCCCGGUCGAGACUCACACCAUGGAGCCAAGGGCGGCCCGAUCGCGGAAGGGAGAAGGGCCGAGAGGAGAGCAAGAGCGCCGACGCUCCGGAGGUGGAAACAUUGAGAAGGACAGAGGCCUGGACUUGGUGCAAUGGACCCGACAUAUGGAGGCUGUGAAGACACAGUUGCUGGAGCAAGCACAGGGACAGCUGAUAGAGCUGCUGGAUCGGGCCGUGCAGGAAGCCAUCCAAUGCUACCCACAACAAGGCGGACCCCUGUCCUCCAUUCCUCCAGAUUCCUUGAGCAAGGCCCGGGAGCCAUCCCUGGGGAAGCGGAAAAUUUUCAUCAUCCGAAAGUCCCUGCUUGACGAGCUGAUGGAAGUACAGCAUUUCCGCACCAUCUACCACAUGUUCAUCGCCGGCUUGUGCGUCUUCAUCAUCAGCACCCUGGCCAUCGACUUCAUUGAUGAGGGCAGGCUGAUGCUGGAGUUUGACCUACUGAUCUUCAGCUUUGGACAGCUGCCCUUGGCGCUGAUGACGUGGGUCCCCAUGUUCCUGUCCACUCUGCUGGUGCCCUACCAGGCCCUGAGGCUGUGGGCGAGGCCCCGGGCAAGAGGGGCCUGGAUGCUGGGGGUGGGCCUGGGCUGCAUGAUGCUGGCUGUCCACACCACCGUGCUCUGGGUCCUCCCCGUCCACGUGGCAUUGAAGUAUCAGCUCCCGCCUGCCUCCCGCUGUAUCCUGGUCUUUGAGCAGGUCAGGCUCCUGAUGAAGAGCUACUCCUUCUUGAGAGAGGCUGUGCCUGGAACCCUUUGUGCCAGAGGAGGUGAGGGCAUGCGGGCCCCCAGUUUCUCCAGCUACCUCUACUUCCUCUUCUGCCCAACACUAAUCUACAGGGAGACUUACCCCAGGACACCCAACGUCAGGUGGAAUUACGUGGCCAAGAACUUUGCCCAGGCUCUGGGCUGCGUACUCUAUGCCUGCUUCAUCCUGGGCCGCCUCUGCGUUCCCGUCUUUGCCAACAUGAGCCGGGAGCCCUUCAGUACCCGGGCUCUGGUGCUGUCUAUCAUGCACGCCACCUUGCCAGGUAUGCCCACCGAAGGCAGGGCUGGGGAGGGCUGCACCCUGGGAAGGCUUAGCGGGGGGCUCCUCCCUCCCCUCACUCCUUUCCUUCAGCCAGAUUCAACACCUCCUGCCUCAGAAACCUCUCCCACAUGUGUCCCUCGCCUCCUCAUUGCUCCAUUGCUAGGGUCUCAGUUCAUUCAGAUGGCCACUCCACUGCCUCUUUCCACAUCAGCCUCCUCGCCUGCCUGCUUUCCCUCUCAAUCUUCCCACCUUCCCCUGACACUGCUGCCCAGAUGAACUUCCCUCCUACAGGUUAAUCAUUCCCUACUCUGCUUCCAAAACUCCAGUCACUCCCCAUUGCUGGCAUCUCCAGAUAAGAUUUGACCCCUUGGCCUGGCAUUCAAGACCCCUUCCCCGACAGCCUAGCCUAUCUUCUCGUCCUGCCACAAGCUCAGCCAUUCCUUGAAAGACAUGUACUUUCAUGCCUCCGGGCUUUUGCUCAUACUGGGGUCUCAGCUUGGAAUGACCUUUCCCCAUUUUCCAGCUGUGAACUCCAGUCUGUUUCUGGAGGCCCAUAACAAAGAUGCCCCCUCCUCUAGGAAGCCUGUCAGUUUUAGCCAUCAGUCACUAUGACCCACCCCUUGCUCUGCAUUCCCAAGCACCUCAAUAGCCACCCGUGCUUAGCUCCCAGCACAUUUGACCUUGACGCAUGGUUGGACUUGUCUCUGUCCCGAUCUCUGCCUCUGUCUCUCUCUCUCUUUCUCUCUCUCCAACCACUCUGUGAACUGCCAAUGGCCAGGGCUUUGAGAUUCAUCUGUGCAUCCCCGACAUGUGGCUUGGAGUUCAUGAGCAGAUGGAUGGAUUAAUGAAUGCAUCUUCAUGCUGCUGCUCAUCUUCUUUGCCUUCCUCCACUGCUGGCUCAACGCCUUCGCAGAGAUGCUACGGACUGGUGGAAUUCAACGUCCUU
RNA transcript from Herpailurus yagouaroundi (jaguarundi), 2912 nucleotides. It is a transcript of the gene named sterol O-acyltransferase 2, with no coding region annotated. The transcript has 12 exons. The record is from RefSeq and is a predicted model, not a curated record. NCBI's taxonomy places the organism in Eukaryota, Metazoa, Chordata, Mammalia, Carnivora, Felidae.